This 924-nucleotide ribosomal RNA is filed under the name Cladosporium herbarum. Its description in RNAcentral is "LSU rRNA". It matches the Rfam family "Eukaryotic large subunit ribosomal RNA", at positions 23 to 973 of the family's 3401-position model. The record is from RNAcentral. Lineage: Eukaryota; Fungi; Ascomycota; Dothideomycetes; Cladosporiales; Cladosporiaceae.
ACCCGCUGAACUUAAGCAUAUCAAUAAGCGGAGGAAAAGAAACCAACAGGGAUUGCUCUAGUAACGGCGAGUGAAGCAGCAAUAGCUCAAAUUUGAAAUCUGGCGUCUUCGACGUCCGAGUUGUAAUUUGUAGAGGAUGCUUCUGAGUGGCCACCGACCUAAGUUCCUUGGAACAGGACGUCAUAGAGGGUGAGAAUCCCGUAUGCGGUCGGAAAGGCGCUCUAUACGUAGCUCCUUCGACGAGUCGAGUUGUUUGGGAAUGCAGCUCUAAAUGGGAGGUAAAUUUCUUCUAAAGCUAAAUAUUGGCCAGAGACCGAUAGCGCACAAGUAGAGUGAUCGAAAGAUGAAAAGCACUUUGGAGAGAGAGUUAAAAAGCACGUGAAAUUGUUAAAAGGGAAGGGAUUGCAACCAGACUUGCUCGCGGUGUUCCGCCGGUCUUCUGACCGGUCUACUCGCCGCGUUGCAGGCCAGCAUCGUCUGGUGCCGCUGGAUAAGACUUGAGGAAUGUAGCUCCCUCGGGAGUGUUAUAGCCUCUUGUGAUGCAGCGAGCGCCGGGCGAGGUCCGCGCUUCGGCUAGGAUGCUGGCGUAAUGGUCGUAAUCCGCCCGUCUUGAAACACGGACCAAGGAGUCUAACAUCUAUGCGAGUGUUCGGGUGUCAAACCCCUACGCGUAAUGAAAGUGAACGGAGGUGAGAACCGCAAGGUGCAUCAUCGACCGAUCCUGAUGUCUUCGGAUGGAUUUGAGUAAGAGCAUAGCUGUUGGGACCCGAAAGAUGGUGAACUAUGCCUGAAUAGGGUGAAGCCAGAGGAAACUCUGGUGGAGGCUCGCAGCGGUUCUGACGUGCAAAUCGAUCGUCAAAUUUGGGUAUAGGGGCGAAAGACUAAUCGAACCAUCUAGUAGCUGGUUCCUGCCGAAGUUUCCCU